GGGUUUAACUCCUGCUUGUUACCGUUUCAUCCAGCCGGAGCCGGAUGUCGUUUUGGUGUCUGAUUCGGUAAGGAACCGGGAGCACCAUCUGCGUAGGCUUGUGGUUUAAGACUUGCGUCGCCUACGGUCUUGGACAGCCCCCGCCAGGCAGGGACCCCAAUUUUUGAGUGGCGCGGCAUGCCGCGCCA
Molecule: small RNA, 188 nt
Filed under: Pseudomonas sp. StFLB209
Lineage: Bacteria; Pseudomonadati; Pseudomonadota; Gammaproteobacteria; Pseudomonadales; Pseudomonadaceae
Description: Pseudomonas sRNA P27
Rfam family: Pseudomonas sRNA P27
Source: Rfam by way of RNAcentral